This 476-nucleotide ribosomal RNA is filed under the name uncultured bacterium. RNAcentral's name for it is "bacterial SSU rRNA". It matches the Rfam family "Bacterial small subunit ribosomal RNA", at positions 28 to 507 of the family's 1533-position model. The record is from RNAcentral.
GAUGAACGCUGGCGGCGUGCCUAACACAUGCAAGUCGAACGGACUUUAAAUGAAGCCUAGCGAUUUUAAAGUUAGUGGCGGACGGGUGAGUAACGCGUGGGUAACCUGCCGUAUACAGGGGGAUAACACUUAGAAAUAGGUGCUAAUACCGCAUAAGCGCACAGUUUCGCAUGGAACAGUGUGAAAAACUCCGGUGGUAUACGAUGGACCCGCGUCUGAUUAGCUAGUUGGUAGGGUAACGGCCUACCAAGGCGACGAUCAGUAGCCGGACUGAGAGGUUGGCCGGCCACAUUGGGACUGAGACACGGCCCAGACUCCUACGGGAGGCAGCAGUGGGGAAUAUUGCACAAUGGGCGAAAAGCCUGAUGCAGCAACGCCGCGUGAAGGAUGAAAGGCCUUCGGGUCGGUAAACUUCUGUCCUUGGGGAAGAAGAACUGACGGGUAACCCCUUGGAGGAAGCCCCGGCUAACUACGUG